This 405-nucleotide ribosomal RNA is filed under the name Triticum aestivum (bread wheat). RNAcentral's name for it is "partial small subunit ribosomal RNA". Lineage: Eukaryota; Viridiplantae; Streptophyta; Magnoliopsida; Poales; Poaceae. The record is from RNAcentral.
GUGAGGGAGGACCAGCAGGUUCUUGGAUACCUGCUCCAAAACCUCUCCAAGGAGGUGCUCGUCACGGUGCCUAUGAUCACCACGGCGCGGGAACUCUGGGUGGCAUUGGCGAGCAUGUUCUCGUUGCAGUCACUCAGCCGCGUGAACAACAUUCGCACUGCGCUGAUCAACAUGCAGAAGGGAAAUCAAUCGGUGGCCUCCUACUUCGCCGCCAUGCGAGGUCUCGCCGAUGAACUCGCCGCGGCCGGCAAGGCCAUCCAGGAUGACGAGCUCAUGUCCUACAUCAUCCACGGGCUGUACCAAGAUUACCAGCCCCUGGUCUCUGCCUUGGACGCCCGUGGUACUCCAGUAACCCUCGACGAGCUUUUUGCUAUGCUUAGUAACUUUGACCAGCGCAUGGCAUAG